Molecule: transfer RNA, 74 nt
Filed under: Endomicrobium sp.
Lineage: Bacteria; Pseudomonadati; Elusimicrobiota; Endomicrobiia; Endomicrobiales; Endomicrobiaceae
Description: tRNA-Arg
Rfam family: tRNA
About the family: Transfer RNA (tRNA) molecules are approximately 80 nucleotides in length. Their secondary structure includes four short double-helical elements and three loops (D, anti-codon, and T loops). Further hydrogen bonds mediate the characteristic L-shaped molecular structure. tRNAs have two regions of fundamental functional importance: the anti-codon, which is responsible for specific mRNA codon recognition, and the 3' end, to which the tRNAs corresponding amino acid is attached (by aminoacyl-tRNA synthetases). tRNAs cope with the degeneracy of the genetic code in two manners: having more than one tRNA (with a specific anti-codon) for a particular amino acid; and 'wobble' base-pairing, i.e. permitting non-standard base-pairing at the 3rd anti-codon position.
Source: RNAcentral
GCGCCUAUAGCUUAAAAUGGAUAGAGCACUGGUCACCGAAGCCUGUAAUUCCGGUUCAAGUCCGGAUAGGCGCG